GUGGAUUAGAUACCCUGGUAGUCCACGCCCUAAACGAUGUCAACUAGGUGUUGGGGAAGGAGACUUCUUUAGUACCGCAGCUAACGCGAUGAGUUGACCGCCUGGGGAGUACGGUCGCAAGAUUAAAACUCAAAGGAAUUGACGGGGACCCGCACAAGCGGUGGAUUAUGUGGAUUAAUUCGAUGCAACGCGAAAAACCUUACCUACCCUUGACAUGCCAGGAAGUUUCCAGAGAUGGGAAUGUGCCCGAAAGGGAACCUGGACACAGGUGCUGCAUGGCCGUCGCCAACU
This 291-nucleotide ribosomal RNA is filed under the name uncultured bacterium. RNAcentral's name for it is "partial 16S ribosomal RNA". It matches the Rfam family "Bacterial small subunit ribosomal RNA", at positions 773 to 1060 of the family's 1533-position model. The record is from RNAcentral.